UGAAGAUGUAAGAAAUAAAGCUUUGCCG
RNAcentral lists this non-coding RNA (28 nucleotides) under Mus musculus (house mouse). The record is from RNAcentral. Lineage: Eukaryota; Metazoa; Chordata; Mammalia; Rodentia; Muridae.